This 432-nucleotide ribosomal RNA is filed under the name uncultured bacterium. RNAcentral's name for it is "partial 16S ribosomal RNA". It matches the Rfam family "Bacterial small subunit ribosomal RNA", at positions 28 to 507 of the family's 1533-position model. The record is from RNAcentral.
GAUGAACGCUGGCGGUAUGCUUAACACAUGCAAGUCGAACGGUACCUUCGGGUAUAUUGGCGUACGGGUGAGUAACGCGUGAGAAUCUAUCUUCAUGGCGGGGACACCUGUUAGAAUUGACUGCUAAUACCGGAUGUGCCCAAAUGUCAAAGAAUUUUUUACGGAACAGGAGCUCGAGUCAAAUUAGCUAGUAGGUGGUGGAAGAGGCUACCUACGCUUCGCUCUGUAGCUGGGAUGAGAGGACGAGCAGCCACACUGGAGGUGAGACACGGUCCAGAAUCCUACGGAAGGCAGCAGUGGGGAAUUGUCCGAAAUGGGGGAAAGGCUGAAGGAGCAAUACCGGGUGAGGGACGAAGGUUGUUGGGUAGUAAACCUCUUUUCUCAGGGAAGAUUCAGACGGUACUUGAGGAAUAAGCAACGGCUAACUAUGUG